RNAcentral lists this ribosomal RNA (491 nucleotides) under uncultured bacterium. Its description in RNAcentral is "partial 16S ribosomal RNA". It matches the Rfam family "Bacterial small subunit ribosomal RNA", at positions 29 to 506 of the family's 1533-position model. The record is from RNAcentral.
AGUGAACGCUGGCGGUAGGCCUAACACAUGCAAGUCGAACGGCAGCACAGUAAGAGCUUGCUCUUACGGGUGGCGAGUGGCGGACGGGUGAGGAAUACAUCGGAAUCUACUUUUUCGUGGGGGAUAACGUAGGGAAACUUACGCUAAUACCGCAUACGACCUACGGGUGAAAGCAGGGGAUCUUCGGACCUUGCGCGAUUGAAUGAGCCGAUGUCGGAUUAGCUAGUUGGCGGGGUAAAGGCCCACCAAGGCGACGAUCCGUAGCUGGUCUGAGAGGAUGGUCAGCCACACUGGAACUGAGACACGGUCCAGACUCCUACGGGAGGCAGAAGUGGGGAAUAUUGGACAAUGGGCGCAAGCCUGAUCCAGCCAUACCGCGUGGGUGAAGAAGGCCUUCGGGUUGUAAAGCCCUUUUGUUGGGAAAGAAAAGCAGCAGGUUAAUACCCCGCUGUUCUGACGGUACCCAAAGAAUAAGCACCGGCUAACUUCGU